RNAcentral lists this small nuclear RNA (164 nucleotides) under Tupaia belangeri chinensis (Chinese tree shrew). RNAcentral describes it as "Tupaia chinensis (Chinese tree shrew) U1 spliceosomal RNA". It matches the Rfam family "U1 spliceosomal RNA". Rfam says of the family: U1 is a small nuclear RNA (snRNA) component of the spliceosome (involved in pre-mRNA splicing). Its 5' end forms complementary base pairs with the 5' splice junction, thus defining the 5' donor site of an intron. Lineage: Eukaryota; Metazoa; Chordata; Mammalia; Scandentia; Tupaiidae. The record is from Rfam by way of RNAcentral.
AUACUUACCUGGCAGGGGAGAUACCAUGAUCACGAAGGUGGUUUUCCCAGGGCAAGGCUUAUCCAUUGCACUCCAUAUGUGCUGACCCCUGUGAUUUCCCCAAAUGUGGGAAACUCGACUGCAUAAUUUGUGGUAGUGGGGGACUGCAUUCGCGCUUUCCCCUG